GUCCUCGUAGCUCAGCAGGAUAGAGCAAUUGCCUCCUAAGCAAUAGGUCGUGCGUUCGAAUCGCGCCGAGGAUG
This 74-nucleotide transfer RNA is filed under the name Candidatus Aerophobota bacterium. RNAcentral describes it as "Candidatus Aerophobetes bacterium tRNA-Arg". It matches the Rfam family "tRNA". From Rfam's summary of the family: Transfer RNA (tRNA) molecules are approximately 80 nucleotides in length. Their secondary structure includes four short double-helical elements and three loops (D, anti-codon, and T loops). Lineage: Bacteria; Candidatus Aerophobota. The record is from RNAcentral.